This 473-nucleotide ribosomal RNA is filed under the name uncultured bacterium. RNAcentral describes it as "bacterial SSU rRNA". It matches the Rfam family "Bacterial small subunit ribosomal RNA", at positions 30 to 497 of the family's 1533-position model. The record is from RNAcentral.
AUUGAACGCUGGCGGCAUGCCUUACACAUGCAAGUCGAACGGCAGCACGGGGCAACCUGGUGGCGAGUGGCGAACGGGUGAGUAAUGCAUCGGAACGUGCCAUUGAGUGGGGGAUAACGUAGCGAAAGUUGCGCUAAUACCGCAUAUUCUGUGAGCAGGAAAGCAGGGACCGCAAGGCCUUGCGCUCUUUGAGCGGCCGAUGUCAGAUUAGCUAGUUGGUGAGGUAACGGCUUACCAAGGCGACGAUCUGUAGCGGGUCUGAGAGGAUGAUCCGCCACACUGGAACUGAGACACGGUCCAGACUCCUACGGGAGGCAGCAGUGGGGAAUUUUGGACAAUGGGCGCAAGCCUGAUCCAGCCAUGCCGCGUGAGUGAAGAAGGCCUUCGGUUGUAAAGACUCUUUCGGCCGGGAAGGAAAUCGCAUGGGUUAAGUACCCUGUGUGGAUGACGGUACCGGAAUAAGAAGACACCGG